GAUGAACGCUAGCGGCAGGCCUAAUACAUGCAAGUCGGACGGGAUUCAGGUGCUUGCUUCUGAUGAGAGUGGCGCACGGGUGCGUAACACGUAUGUAACCUACCUUUUUCAGGGUGAUAGCCUCUCGAAAGAGAGAUUAAGCUCGCAUAAAAUCACAGCACAGCAUUGUGUAAUGAUCAAAUAUUUAUAGGAUAAAGAUGGGCAUGCGGAACAUUAGCUAGAUGGCGGGGUAACGGCCCACCAUGGCGACGAUGUUUAGGGGAUCUGAGAGGAUGGCCCCCCAGACUGGUACAGAGACACGGACCAGACAGCUACGGGAGGGAGCAGUAAGGAAUAUAGGACAAUGAGCGGAAGCCUGAAGCAGCCAAGCCGCGUGCAGGAAGACGGCGGUACGGGUUGUAAACUGCUGUUAUACGAGAAUAAACCCAGAUACGUGUAUCUGGCUGAAGGUACUGUAAGAAUAAGGAACGGCUAACUCCGUG
Molecule: ribosomal RNA, 482 nt
Filed under: uncultured bacterium
Lineage: Bacteria
Description: partial 16S ribosomal RNA
Rfam family: Bacterial small subunit ribosomal RNA
Source: RNAcentral